AUACAGCCGAUGAGUCUUAAGUAGGACGAAACGCACGUCAUGUAU
Molecule: non-coding RNA, 45 nt
Filed under: Schistosoma mattheei
Lineage: Eukaryota; Metazoa; Platyhelminthes; Trematoda; Strigeidida; Schistosomatidae
Source: RNAcentral